ACUGGCAAGGAUGACAUACACUUGCCCUCACUUAGACCAUAGUUCGCUGAUGAGAGCACCUAACUGUUCUGAGCCAGU
Molecule: small nucleolar RNA, 78 nt
Organism: Ailuropoda melanoleuca (giant panda)
Lineage: Eukaryota; Metazoa; Chordata; Mammalia; Carnivora; Ursidae
Source: Ensembl